This 85-nucleotide transfer RNA is filed under the name Bacteriophage sp. RNAcentral's name for it is "tRNA-Ser". It matches the Rfam family "tRNA". Rfam says of the family: Transfer RNA (tRNA) molecules are approximately 80 nucleotides in length. Their secondary structure includes four short double-helical elements and three loops (D, anti-codon, and T loops). RNAcentral also lists the same sequence under 2 other names. The record is from RNAcentral.
GGAGGUAUGGGUGAGUGGCUUAAACCACCGUCCUGCUAAGACGGAGGGCCUUCGGGUCCCGCUGGUUCGAAUCCAGCUGCCUCCG